CCUACGGGUGGCAGCAGUGGGGGAUAUUGCACAAUGGGGGAAACCCUGAUGCAGCGACGCCGCGUGGGCGAAGAAGUAUUUCGUUAUGUAAAGCCCUAUCAGCAGGGAAGAAGAAAUGACCGUAACUGAGUAAGAAGCACCGGCUAAAUACGUGCCAGCAGCCGCGGUCAUACGUAUGGUGCACGCGUUAUCCGGAUUUACUGGGUGUAAAGGCAGCGCAGGCGUCAAGGCAAGCCUGAUGUGAAAGCCCGCUGACCAACCGCGGGACUGCAUUGGGAACUACCGGGCUGGAGUGCCGGAGAGGUAGGCGGAAUUCAUAGUGUAGCGGUGCAAUGCGUAGAUAUUAGGAGGAACACCAGUGGCGAAGGCGGCCUACUGGACGGUGACUGACGCUGAGGCUCGAAAGCGUGGGGAGCAAACAGGAUUAGAUACCCCAGUAGUC
Molecule: ribosomal RNA, 442 nt
Filed under: uncultured bacterium
Lineage: Bacteria
Description: partial 16S ribosomal RNA
Rfam family: Bacterial small subunit ribosomal RNA
Source: RNAcentral